This 641-nucleotide ribosomal RNA is filed under the name Xylodon flaviporus. RNAcentral's name for it is "eukaryotic LSU rRNA". The stretch from base 235 to 388 matches the Rfam family "5.8S ribosomal RNA". The record is from RNAcentral. Lineage: Eukaryota; Fungi; Basidiomycota; Agaricomycetes; Hymenochaetales; Schizoporaceae.
UUGCUCGGAGACAUUCUGAGUUUUGAGUGGGCUUGAUGCUGGCAUCUUUUUGAUGCAUGUGCUCAGCCCCGCUCUCAAAUCCACUCAACACCUGUGCACUUUCAAAGUUGUAGUCCUCCGUAAUGGGAGUCGCAAGUCUUUUUUGACUUGCUGGGACUGCGCUUUGCCAUUUAUCACAAACGAUAUUCAUUGUUUUGUAGAAUGUCUAGCCUCAUUGUAGGUGAAACUUAAUACAACUUUCAACAACGGAUCUCUUGGCUCUCGCAUCGAUGAAGAACGCAGCGAAAUGCGAUAAGUAAUGUGAAUUGCAGAAUUCAGUGAAUCAUCGAAUCUUUGAACGCACCUUGCGCUCCUUGGUAUUCCGAGGAGCAUGCCUGUUUGAGUGUCGUGAAAUUAUCAACUCCUAUUCUUUAUUGAAUGGUGAGCUUGGAUUUGGAGAUUGCUGGUGAAAAUCGGCUUCUCUUGAAUGAAUUAGCUGGAAUUUGAUUCGCAGCAUAUAUGCGGUGUGAUAAUGUCGUCACUGUGUAGCUCGGAUUGUCUGGCUUCUAAUCGUCUUUCAUGGACAAUUUGAUCAUUUUGACCUCAAAUCAGGUAGGACUACCCGCUGAACUUAAGCAUAUCAAAAAGCGGAGGAACCCCCC